UUUACCUACGGGGCGCAGCAGUGAGGAAUAUUGGUCAAUGGUCGGGAGACUGAACCAGCCAAGCCGCGUGAGGGAGGAAGGUACAGAGUAUCGUAAACCUCUUUUGUCAGGGAACAAAGGCGGGGACGUGUCCCCGGAUGAGUGUACCUGAAGAAAAAGCAUCGGCUAACUCCGUACCAGCAGCCGCGGUAAUACGUAGGUGGCAAGCGUUGUCCGGAAUUACUGGGGGUAAAGGGAGCGCAGGCGGGAAGCCAAGUCAGCUGUGAAAA
Molecule: ribosomal RNA, 269 nt
Filed under: uncultured bacterium
Lineage: Bacteria
Description: partial 16S ribosomal RNA
Rfam family: Bacterial small subunit ribosomal RNA
Source: RNAcentral